Molecule: ribosomal RNA, 427 nt
Filed under: uncultured bacterium
Lineage: Bacteria
Description: bacterial SSU rRNA
Rfam family: Bacterial small subunit ribosomal RNA
Source: RNAcentral
UGGGGAAUAUUGGACAAUGGGCGAAAGCCUGAUCCAGCCAUGCCGCGUGUGUGAAGAAGGUCUUCGGAUUGUAAAGCACUUUAAGUUGGGAGGAAGGGCAGUAAGUUAAUACCUUGCUGUUUUGACGUUACCAACAGAAUAAGCACCGGCUAACUUCGUGCCAGCAGCCGCGGUAAUACGAAGGGUGCAAGCGUUAAUCGGAAUUACUGGGCGUAAAGCGCGCGUAGGUGGUUUGGUAAGAUGGAUGUGAAAUCCCCGGGCUCAACCUGGGAACUGCAUCCANAACUGCCUGACUAGAGUACGGGAGAGGGUGGUGGAAUUUCCUGUGUAGCGGUGAAAUGCGUAGAUAUAGGAAGGAACACCAGUGGCGAAGGCGACCACCUGGACUGAUACUGACACUGAGGUGCGAAAGCGUGGGGAGCAAACA